Molecule: ribosomal RNA, 440 nt
Filed under: uncultured bacterium
Lineage: Bacteria
Description: partial 16S ribosomal RNA
Rfam family: Bacterial small subunit ribosomal RNA
Source: RNAcentral
CCUACGGGAGGCAGCAGUGGGGAAUAUUGCACAAUGGACGAAAGCCUGAUGCAGCAACGCCGCGUGAGUGAUGACGGCCUUCGGGUUGUAAAACUCUGUCUUUAGGGACGAAAAUGACGGUACCUGAGUAGGUAGCCACGGAUAACUACGUGCCAGAAGCCGCGGUCAUACGUAGGUGGCGCGGGUUGUCCGGAUUUACUGGGCGUAAAGGGAGCGUAGGCGGAUUUUUAAGUUAGAUGUGAAAUACUCGGGCUCAACUUGAGUGCUGCAUUUGAAACUGGACGUCUAGAGUGCAGGAGAGGAGAAUGGAAUGCAUGGUGUAGCGGUGAAAUGCGUAGAGAUAAGGAAGAACACCAGUGGCGAAGGCGGUUCUCUGGGCUGUAACUGACGCUGAGGCUCGAAAGCGUGGGGAGCAAACAGGAUUAGAUACCCUUGUAGUC